GACGUAGGGCGCGAGCGUUGUCCGGAUUUAUUGGGCGUAAAGAGCUCGUAGGCGGCUUGUCGCGUCGAAUGUGAAAACCUGCAGCUCAACUGCAGGCUUGCAUUCGAUACGGGCAGGCUCGAGUUCGGUAGGGGAGACUGGAAUUCCUGGUGUAGCGGUGAAAUGCGCAGAUAUCAGGAGGAACACCAAUGGCGAAGGCAGCUCGCUGGGACGGUACUGACACUGAGACGCGAAAGCGUGGGGAGCAAACAGG
This 253-nucleotide ribosomal RNA is filed under the name uncultured bacterium. RNAcentral describes it as "partial 16S ribosomal RNA". It matches the Rfam family "Bacterial small subunit ribosomal RNA", at positions 524 to 776 of the family's 1533-position model. The record is from RNAcentral.